AUUGAACGCUGGCGGCAUGCUCUACACAUGCAAGUCGAACGGUAACAGGCCGCAAGGUGCUGACGAGUGGCGAACGGGUGAGUAAUGCAUCGGAACGUGCCCAGUCGUGGGGGAUAACUACUCGAAAGAGUAGCUCAUACCGCAUACGAUCUAUGGAUGACAGCGGGGGACCGUAAGGCCUCGCGCGAUUGGAGCGGCCGAUGUCAGAUUAGGUAGUUGGUGGGGUAAAGGCUCACCAAGCCAACGAUCUGUAGCUGGUCUGAGAGGACGACCAGCCACACUGGGACUGAGACACGGCCCAGACUCCUACGGGAGGCAGCAGUGGGGAAUUUUGGACAAUGGGCGCAAGCCUGAUCCAGCAAUGCCGCGUGCAGGAAGAAGGCCUUCGGGUUGUAAACUGCUUUUGUACGGAACGAAACGGCUCUGGUUAAUACCCGGGGCUAAUGACGGUACCGUAAGAAUAAGCACCGGCUAACUACGUG
RNAcentral lists this ribosomal RNA (482 nucleotides) under uncultured bacterium. RNAcentral's name for it is "partial 16S ribosomal RNA". It matches the Rfam family "Bacterial small subunit ribosomal RNA", at positions 30 to 507 of the family's 1533-position model. The record is from RNAcentral.